RNAcentral lists this ribosomal RNA (468 nucleotides) under uncultured bacterium. RNAcentral describes it as "partial 16S ribosomal RNA". It matches the Rfam family "Bacterial small subunit ribosomal RNA", at positions 28 to 507 of the family's 1533-position model. The record is from RNAcentral.
GACGAACGCUGGCGGCGUGCUUAACACAUGCAAGUCGAACGGAAAGGCCCUGCUUUUGUGGGGUGCUCGAGUGGCGAACGGGUGAGUAACACGUGAGUAACCUGCCCUUGACUUUGGGAUAACUUCAUGAAACUGGGGCUAAUACCGGAUAGGAGCUCCUGCUGCAUGGUGGGGGUUGGAAAGUUUCGGCGGUUGGGGAUGGACUCGCGGCUUAUCAGCUUGUUGGUGGGGUAGUGGCUUACCAAGGCUUUGACGGGUAGCCGGCCUGAGAGGGUGACCGGCCACAUUGGGACUGAGAUACGGCCCAGACUCCUACGGGAGGAAGCAGUGGGGAAUAUUGCACAAUGGGCGGAAGCCUGAUGCAGCAACGCCGCGUGCGGGAUGACGGCCUUCGGGUUGUAAACCGCUUUCGCCUGUGACGAAGCGUGAGUGAAGGUAAUGGGUAAAGAAGCACCGGCUAACUACGUG